RNAcentral lists this non-coding RNA (98 nucleotides) under Stygamoeba regulata. The record is from RNAcentral. Lineage: Eukaryota; Discosea; Stygamoebida.
GUGCUCAGCUCGGCUGAGAGUGCACUACACUGCCUUUUGAGUAUGCUCUUCUGCUCGCUGCUCAUCCGAGCAGAUUCGCGCAUUCAUCACAUGCCCAA